GUGGGUAGUUUGACUGGGGCGGUCUCCUCCCAAAGAGUAACGGAGGAGCACGAAGGUUGGCUAAUCCUGGUCGGACAUCAGGAGGUUAGUGCAAUGGCAUAAGCCAGCUUGACUGCGAGCGUGACGGCGCGAGCAGGUGCGAAAGCAGGUCAUAGUGAUCCGGUGGUUCUGAAUGGAAGGGCCAUCGCUCAACGGAUAAAAGGUACUCCGGGGAUAACAGGCUGAUACCGCCCAAGAGUUCAUAUCGACGGCGGUGUUUGGCACCUCGAUGUCGGCUCAUCACAUCCUGGGGCUGAAGUAGGUCCCAAGGGUAUGGCUGUUCGCCAUUUAAAGUGGUACGCGAGCUGGGUUUAGAACGUCGUGAGACAGUUCGGUCCCUAUCUGCCGUGGGCGCUGGAGAAUUGAGGGGGGCUGCUCCUAGUACGAGAGGACCGGAGUGGACGCAUCACUGGUGUUCGGG
RNAcentral lists this ribosomal RNA (460 nucleotides) under Enterobacter hormaechei. RNAcentral describes it as "partial 23S ribosomal RNA". It matches the Rfam family "Bacterial large subunit ribosomal RNA", at positions 2261 to 2720 of the family's 2925-position model. Lineage: Bacteria; Pseudomonadati; Pseudomonadota; Gammaproteobacteria; Enterobacterales; Enterobacteriaceae. The record is from RNAcentral.